Molecule: microRNA precursor, 92 nt
Organism: Physeter macrocephalus (sperm whale)
Lineage: Eukaryota; Metazoa; Chordata; Mammalia; Artiodactyla; Physeteridae
Gene: MIR21
Product: microRNA 21
Source: Ensembl
UGUACCACCUUGUCGGGUAGCUUAUCAGACUGAUGUUGACUGUUGAAUCUCAUGGCAACAGCAGUCGAUGGGCUGUCUGACAUUUUGGUAUC